UCUCAUGUUUGCCUGAACAGUAACUGUACUGUCAGAGCCCUACACUUGGCUUUGGAUAACUUGAGCCCGGACAGAGUGUUAGAAAAUCCCCGUCUCUUCAAAUCUCACACAGAUGAAUGCUCAUGUUGGAAAGAAUCUCAAGUUCUGCCUUCGUUGGAAGUGCUGCUGAAGAUUGCCCGUAACUGAGGAUUGCGGUGGAGAAGAAUAAGCACUGCAUGUAGAAAUGAAUCACGUAAUCCUGGGGGAAGAAAUAGCUGUGGAGACAACCUCUGUGGCAGUUAAGGUCCCUUUUGGGUACCAUAUGCAUCUGCUGUUAAUUCAGUUGCCAAUGGCUGCCUGGGAUACUGACGCUAAUUUGGCAAACAAUGGAACAGAGCACGGGAAAAGGAAGAUGGGACAGAUGAGAGGAGUGGUGGAGAGGAGAGGGUGCUACCAUACUUGCCAUAUAAUUCAGAAGAACUCUUGAGUUUUAAAGCAACAGCGAUGGAUGGUUUUAAGAAUAAGUGACUUUCUUGGCCUAAGUAGGGUAAGGAUACAACCUUUAACCUUGCAUUCUGCUAUUACAAAUAGGUGUAAUCUUCUCCUCUCCCCGUGUCUGUUUUAAAGCCUGAUGGCUCAACUACCUGCCAGAGACAGCUAUUUUGAUAACAAAGCCAGGCUAUAGAUGAGACCAUUGGAUUCGGCAUCUGAGAUCUGGGACAGACUAUUGGAACUCUACAACAUACAUUUUCCAAUGAGAAUGCAUUUUAAAAUCAGGCAUUAUUUUAAUUAUUAUGAUCAUUUCCAUUUUCUCUCCAGUCUUUUUGGAAGGAAGAACAAACACUCAAUUUUAAGUAAGGAAAGACAAUUAAUGAGGGUAUUUGAUGCAAAAUGAGGAAUGACUGAAGCCUGUUGCUAUAUUACAGCCCUUCAAAACUGCUCCUGGUCAGCAUGUGUACUCUUAUCACUCACUUCUGAUUUCCCCAUAGUAGGUGCUAUUAAAAAUUCAGCAUUCCCUUAUUCCUAUUAAUAAUUAUAUGUGCUGUUGUAGAACCUAAAGGCCCCCCCAAAAAGGCCAGGGCCCAAUUGCACUAAAUAUGGUUUAUAUACAUUGUAGUAGAUAGUCCUUGCCUCAAAGAGUUUACACUCUAAUUGGGUAAGACAAACGAAGGAAAUAUUCUCCCCAUUUUACAGCCUGGAGACUGAGGCAGAGAAAGAUAAAAGUCUCAGUGGGUCAUUCUAGUCAUCUGUGUCUGAGCUGGGAACAGUAUCCAGAUCUCCUGAGAUUUAAUGCAGUGUCUCAACUGCAAGACAAUCUUUUGUAUCAGCAUUGGGUGCCUCUCAGUAACCUUAUUUGUGCUUAACCUGGGAAGAUAACAUAGUCCCCGUAAAGCAGCAAAAUAGUCAUUACCAUGGAAAAUUCAGCAUUAUAUUACCCAAUAUUUAGCAUGACGCCUGGUCAAAAAUGUAGACUAUUUUUCAUGAAAAUAUUUGAAUAAAAAAACCAAAAAACAAAAAUUUUGAAUUUUCAAAAAAUGUUCAACCAGCUCUAAAAUGCCUCCCAAACAACACAAUGACAAAAUUUAAAAAAUUCUGGUCAGCUUCAGUAGCCCCAAAAUGGCAUCUGAGGUGGCACAUGUGUUCUCUCCUUUUGGGAAUGGGAAAUAAUUCCAGAAUGGUAGUGAUUUUUCAGCGGUGUCUGGUGUCUGUCGCUCCACUCAAGCCUGGUCAAAAUUUUAAAGUUUUAUUUGUAUAACUCUUGGGUUAGAGGGGCUAUAUUUAUUUAUUCAUUCAUUUAUUUUUACCAAAAUAAUUAUAUCCAUACAAUCCCUGGUGUGGCUUCAACAACAACCAUGUAAAGCUGAUUUAUACAAGUAAAAUUAUUCCUCCUCUUGUAUGGGAAUAAUUAUACCAGGAUAAAGCACCUUUAUACCAACAUAACUGCAUGCACACUAGGAGGCUGUACUCCUUUAGCUGCAUCAGGAAAGUGCUACAACUUUUCAGUGUAGAC
Molecule: long non-coding RNA, 1990 nt
Organism: Mauremys reevesii (Reeves's turtle)
Lineage: Eukaryota; Metazoa; Chordata; Testudines; Geoemydidae
Exons: 4
Source: RefSeq, a predicted model, not a curated record